RNAcentral lists this transfer RNA (82 nucleotides) under Lepeophtheirus salmonis (salmon louse). RNAcentral's name for it is "transfer RNA serine (anticodon CGA)". It matches the Rfam family "tRNA". Rfam says of the family: Transfer RNA (tRNA) molecules are approximately 80 nucleotides in length. The record is from Rfam by way of RNAcentral. Lineage: Eukaryota; Metazoa; Arthropoda; Copepoda; Siphonostomatoida; Caligidae.
GCAGUUGUGGCCGAGUGGUUAUGGCGUCUGACUCGAAAUCAGAUGGGCUCUGCCCGCGCAGGUUCGAAUCCUGCCAACUGCG